GUAACGGCGUGGGUAACCUGCCUCAUACAGGGGGAUAACAGUUAGAAAUGACUGCUAACACCGCAAUAAAUAUAGCGAAACCGCAUGAUUUUUGCUAUCAAAUAUUUAUAGGUAUGAGAUGGGCCCGCGUCUGAUUAGCUAGUUGGUGGGGUAAAAGCCUACCAAGGCGACGAUCAGUAGCCGGCUUGAGAGAGUGACCGGCCACAUUGGGACUGAGACACGGCCCAAACUCCUACGGGAGGCAGCAGUGGGGAAUAUUGGACAAUGGGGGAAACCCUGAUCCAGGACCGACGCCGCGUAGAGUGAAGAAGUAUUUCGGUAUGUAAAGCUCUAUCAGCAGGGAAGAUAAUGACAGUACCUGACUAAAGAAGCCCCGGCUAACUACGUGCCAGCCGCCGC
RNAcentral lists this ribosomal RNA (399 nucleotides) under uncultured bacterium. RNAcentral describes it as "bacterial SSU rRNA". It matches the Rfam family "Bacterial small subunit ribosomal RNA", at positions 110 to 518 of the family's 1533-position model. The record is from RNAcentral.